Molecule: long non-coding RNA, 791 nt
Organism: Aquila chrysaetos chrysaetos
Lineage: Eukaryota; Metazoa; Chordata; Aves; Accipitriformes; Accipitridae
Exons: 4
Source: RefSeq, a predicted model, not a curated record
GGUGCUAUGUUGGUUCUGGCUGCAUUUGCCCAUAGAUAGGAAUCAAUGAAAUGAGAGCAAAUAACUCUCAUUUUUUUAAGAGGAGACAUUAUAUAUACUGUGGAGUUUUGACAGCAGAAGUGCUCUUCGAUUUCUGAUGCAAUCUCUGUGAACACAGGCUGAGAAGAAAGUCUGCAGAGCCUGAAAUGGCUGCGGGGUCAGGAGCAGAGAAGAGUGCUUUCUCUGGGAGCACAGCAAACUGAACACUGUCAGCAGCUUUCUCAAGCGCAUAUCACAUGCCCCAGGCAGCCAGCCAGCCUACCUGUCUGAGAAAAACAGACCUGCUUUUCCCUGCCACACCCUGACCCCUGAGGAUGAUAACCCGUUGCCAAGAAACAUCAGCAAUAACUGUUUGGAAAACAGAUGCCUGUCAAGUUUCAUGUGGAACCGGCUUUCCCCGCCACGUCCUUUCCCAGCACGGACCUUGCUGUCGGCGCCACGGCCCCGCUCCCGCUCUGCACCUCCCAGGCCAGGCACCAGGGUCCGGUUGGUGCCGUGGCAUGACCCGGUGCAGAAGAUGCUCCCCUUGCGUGUGACCCACCGCACAUCAGAGAAAGCCACACCCUAGAAGCUGCAGGGUUUGCCUCGGAGGUUGAUUCGCAGCUAGCAGAGCACAGAAAAGCAGAAGCAGAAUACAGAAAAGUAUAGAAAAUAGGAUCCCAGUGCAGAAUGAGUCCCAAUCCAGAGGAGGAGACGGAGACUUUGUGAUUCUGUGCUGCAGGAAAAGUGCAGCUAGACUGAAACUAAAUGCU